This is a non-coding RNA of Paramuricea clavata, 446 nucleotides long. The record is from the annotation of a GenBank genome assembly. Lineage: Eukaryota; Metazoa; Cnidaria; Anthozoa; Malacalcyonacea; Plexauridae.
GGGGGGGGGGUUGCAAUUAAAUUUGAAGGAAUUUGCUUAAUAAGCAUGGUAUCCAUUUGGUUGUAAUUGCGACUAAAUCAUGGUCACUGGUGUGAAAUAGUUUGGAUUUAUCUUGUCUUCUGUGUGCUGUAUGCAAAUAAGUCUUUACUGAUUGCAGAGAUAAAUUGACAAUGUAUUAUUACAUCAGCUAUCUUGAUGUGGUUAAAUACAUUUAAGCAAGGUUAACGGCGAAUGUACUAUGCAGGCCACAUCCACUGAUGGGAGUCUGUGACGUCAUAUCGAUUAAAGGGGGUUGUUUCGCUCCUUGUGAUCAGUGCGUCGGUCUGGGUAUUCAUACUGCCAUUGUAUGCUUUGCCUAGCUGCAGCAAGUUUAGCGCUUAGAUACCUUUCCCCUACCCACCCCACCCACCCAUGUUUAUUCUAGAGGAUUUUAUCUGGUAGUAGGU